Long non-coding RNA from Hordeum vulgare subsp. vulgare (domesticated barley), 694 nucleotides. RefSeq lists it as uncharacterized. The transcript is spliced from 3 exons. The record is from RefSeq and is a predicted model, not a curated record. NCBI's taxonomy places the organism in Eukaryota, Viridiplantae, Streptophyta, Magnoliopsida, Poales, Poaceae.
GGGGGGGGGGGGGGGGGGGGGGUUCUACCUGGUCCAAGAGGAACAAGGGCACCGACUCGACAGAGAAGAGGUUUGUCCCAGCAGCAGGAGUUCCCGAAAUCGCACCGGGGCUGGAGGUUCAAGCUGCUGCAUCUGCUAUCCGGCAUGGUCUCCAUCGCCGCCUGCAACCAAUUCCAGGCCCGCACCAGUCAGUACUCAGUAGCUGAACUCUGCGUGGUAUGCCGGCACGCUCCAGCGGAAACUUCCUUGUUUGUGAAUCACGUCUGUCUAUGUAAUUACUGCCACCACAUCGUCGUGUCCGAUCCCUCCUCGACGCCAUGCCUGCUCUGUCUCGCUCAACUCUUUCCCGGCCGGCAGUGAGCGACUAUGGCUUCAGUUUAGAAGACAGUUUUGCUGUUCAGGUUAUCUACAAUCGACCAUGUAUCCAGGCUCCCAUUGCCUUAUGUUUCUGCAUUUUGUCAACCAAGAUCAUGCGCUGCUCAUUGUCCUAGCCCUGGUCACAUGAAGUUUGAGCUCAUGCUAGAUUCUGUUAUAAGGCUCGUACUGUUUAUUUCUUGGUAGCUUUCUGAACUCAAUCAGCAGUGCUACGCCUGAACUGAUUAACCUGCUCAAGUCCUAUGUUUAUUUAGUCGUCUCUGCGACAACUUAUGCACUAAGAUGCUGCGCAUCCCGUUCUAUCAAGUAACUUUCGUCA